Molecule: ribosomal RNA, 327 nt
Filed under: uncultured eukaryote
Lineage: Eukaryota
Description: partial 18S ribosomal RNA
Rfam family: Eukaryotic small subunit ribosomal RNA
Source: RNAcentral
CCCUUAGAUGUUCGGGGCCGCACACGCGCUACACUGAAGGAGGCAGCGUGUACUCCUGGAUCGAAAGAUUUGGGUAACCCGCGAAUCUCCUUCGUGCUAGGGAUUGAGGUUUGCAAUUAUCCUUCAUGAACGAGGAAUUCCCAGUAAGUGCAAGUCAUAAGCUUGCGCUGACUACGUCCCUGCCCUUUGUACACACCGCCCGUCGCUACUACCGAUUGAAUGAUUUAGUGAGGACUUCGGACUGGGACCGAUGCGGCUUUCGGGCUGCGUCGGUAUUCUGGAAAGAUGUCCAAACUGUAUCAUUUAGAGGAAGUAAAAGUCGUAACA